GUCCUGGCAGUAAACGGUGCACGUUUGGUGUGGGAGGAUUCGACCCCUUCCGUGUCGGAGCUAACGCGUUAAACGUGCCGCCUGGGGAGUACGGUCGCAAGAUUAAAACUCAAAGAAAUUGACGGGGGCCCGCACAAGCGGUGGAGUAUGUGGCUUAAUUCGAUGCAACGCGAAGAACCUUACCUGGCCUUGACAUGCAUCUCUAAGUCGGUGAAAGCCGGCGAGUGUAGCAAUACACAAUUUGCACAGGUGCUGCAUGGCUGUCGU
Molecule: ribosomal RNA, 267 nt
Filed under: uncultured bacterium
Lineage: Bacteria
Description: partial 16S ribosomal RNA
Rfam family: Bacterial small subunit ribosomal RNA
Source: RNAcentral